GACGAACGCUGGCGGCGUGCCUAAUACAUGCAAGUCGAACGCACUCUCGUUAGAUUGAAGAAGCUUGCUUCUGAUUGAUAACAUUUGAGUGAGUGGCGGACGGGUGAGUAACACGUGGGUAACCUGCCCUAAAGUGGGGGAUAACAUUUGGAAACAGAUGCUAAUACCGCAUAAAACCUAGCACCGCAUGGUGCAAGGUUGAAAGAUGGUUUCGGCUAUCACUUUAGGAUGGACCCGCGGUGCAUUAGUUAGUUGGUGAGGUAAAGGCUCACCAAGACCGUGAUGCAUAGCCGACCUGAGAGGGUAAUCGGCCACACUGGGACUGAGACACGGCCCAGACUCCUACGGGAGGCAGCAGUAGGGAAUCUUCCACAAUGGACGAAAGUCUGAUGGAGCAACGCCGCGUGAGUGAAGAAGGUUUCGGAUACGUAAACUCUGUUGUUGGAGAAGAACG
Molecule: ribosomal RNA, 454 nt
Filed under: uncultured bacterium
Lineage: Bacteria
Description: bacterial SSU rRNA
Rfam family: Bacterial small subunit ribosomal RNA
Source: RNAcentral